RNAcentral lists this long non-coding RNA (1027 nucleotides) under Mytilus galloprovincialis (Mediterranean mussel). Lineage: Eukaryota; Metazoa; Mollusca; Bivalvia; Mytilida; Mytilidae. The record is from RNAcentral.
ACAGUAUAUAGAGCUGGUUACUUUUGUAUAUGUAAAAUUUAAUGUCCAAAAAAUUUGUUAACAAGGACAACUGAAACCUCAGCAUGUCAAGACAUACAUAUUAUUAAUAUUCAAACCAUAUAGAGUCACCACAUAGGGUUUUAGAUAAAUAUUCAAACCAUAUAGAGUCAAGACAUAGGGUUUUAUAUAAAUAUUCAAACCAUAUAGAGUCAACACAUAGGGUUUUAGAUAAAUAUUCAAACCAUAUAGAGUCAACACAUAGGGUUUUAGAUAAAUAUUCAAACCAUAUAGAGUCAAGACAUAGGGUUUUAGAUAAAUAUUCAAACCAUAUAGAGUCACCACAUAGGUUUUUAGAUAAAUAUUCAAACCAUAUAGAGUCUACACAUAGGGUUUUAUAUAAAUAUUCAAGCCAUAUAGAGUCACCACAUAUGGUUUUAGAUAAAUAUUUUAAGCCAUAUAGAGUCAACACAUAUGGUUUUAGAUAAAUAUUCAAGCCAUAUAGAGUCAACACAUAGGUUUUUAGAUAAAUAUUCAAACCAUAUAGAGUCAACACAUAGGGUUUUAUAUAAAUAUUCAAACCAUAUAGAGUCAACACAUAUGGUUUUAGAUAAAUAUUCAAACCAUAUAGAGUCACCACAUAGGAUUUUAUAUAAAUAUUCAAACCAUAUAGAGUCAACACAUAUGGUUUUAGAUAAAUAUUCAAGCCAUAUAGAGUCAACACAUAGGAUUUUAUAUAAAUAUUCAAACCAUAUAGAGUCAACACAUAGGGUUUUAGAUAAAUAUUCAAACCAGAUAGAGUCAACACAUAGGGUUUUAGAUAAAUAUUCAAACCAUAUAGAGUCACCACAUAGGUUUUUAGAUAAAUAUUCAAGCCAUAUAGAGUCAAGACAUAGGGUUUUAGAUAAAUAUUCAAACCAUAUAGAGUCAACACAUAGGGUUUUAUAUAAAUAUUCAAGCCAUAUAGAGUCAACACAUAGGGUUUUAUAUAAAUAUUCAAACCAUAUAGAGUCAACACAUAGGGUUUUAU